This 24-nucleotide microRNA is filed under the name Gossypium raimondii (Peruvian cotton). Its description in RNAcentral is "gra-miR8771c". The record is from miRBase by way of RNAcentral. Lineage: Eukaryota; Viridiplantae; Streptophyta; Magnoliopsida; Malvales; Malvaceae.
UAGGGAGGUAACGAAGCUUAACGG